Molecule: ribosomal RNA, 253 nt
Filed under: uncultured Dyella sp.
Lineage: Bacteria; Pseudomonadati; Pseudomonadota; Gammaproteobacteria; Lysobacterales; Rhodanobacteraceae
Description: partial 16S ribosomal RNA
Rfam family: Bacterial small subunit ribosomal RNA
Source: RNAcentral
UACGAAGGGUGCAAGCGUUAAUCGGAAUUACUGGGCGUAAAGCGUGCGUAGGCGGUUUGUUAAGUCUGCUGUGAAAUCCCCGGGCUCAACCUGGGAAUGGCAGUGGAUACUGGCAGGCUAGAGUGUGUCAGAGGGUGGUGGAAUUCCCGGUGUAGCGGUGAAAUGCGUAGAGAUCGGGAGGAACAUCAGUGGCGAAGGCGGCCACCUGGGACAACACUGACGCUGAGGCACGAAAGCGUGGGGAGCAAACAGG